This 489-nucleotide ribosomal RNA is filed under the name uncultured Chloroflexota bacterium. Its description in RNAcentral is "bacterial SSU rRNA". It matches the Rfam family "Bacterial small subunit ribosomal RNA", at positions 224 to 704 of the family's 1533-position model. Lineage: Bacteria; Bacillati; Chloroflexota. The record is from RNAcentral.
GAGGGGCUCGCGGCCUAUCAGCUAGUUGGUGAGGUAACGGCUCACCAAGGCUAUGACGGGUAGCUGGUCUGAGAGGACGACCAGCCACACGGGAACUGAGACACGGUCCCGACUCCUACGGGAGGCAGCAGUGGGGAAUUUUCCGCAAUGGGCGAAAGCCUGACGGAGUGACGCCGCGUGGGGGACGAAGGCCUUCGGGUUGUAAACCCCUGUCAGAGGGAAAGAAGGAUCGCCUGGCUAAUAUCCAGGUGAUCUGACGGUACCUUCAGAGGAAGCCCCGGCCAACUCUGUGCCAGCAGCCGCGGUAAGACAGAGGGGGCAAGCGUUGCUCGGAAUCACUGGGCGUAAAGGGCGCGUAGGCGGGAUGGCAAGUCAGUCGUGAAAUCUCUCGGCUCAACCGAGAAACGUCGGCUGAUACUGCCGUUCUUGAGGGAUGCAGAGGAGACUGGAAUUCCCGGUGUAGCGGUGAAAUGUGUAGAGAUCGGGAGG